GGGCACAUUUUGUAUGGAAGACUAGUGAUUUUGUUGUUUGGGUUAAGGAAUUAACAAAAAAUCUCUUGUCUUUCUACAAAGUGAAUGCUA
This is a non-coding RNA of Phlebotomus papatasi, 90 nucleotides long. The record is from Rfam. NCBI's taxonomy places the organism in Eukaryota, Metazoa, Arthropoda, Insecta, Diptera, Psychodidae.